Molecule: ribosomal RNA, 1436 nt
Filed under: uncultured bacterium
Lineage: Bacteria
Description: bacterial SSU rRNA
Rfam family: Bacterial small subunit ribosomal RNA
Source: RNAcentral
UUAGAGUUUGAUCCUGGCUCAGGAUGAACGCCGGCGGUGUGCCUAAUACAUGCAAGUCGUACGCACUGGCCCAACUGAUUGAUGGUGCUUGCACCGGAUUGACGUUGGAUCACCAGUGAGUGGCGGACGGGUGAGUAACACGUAGGUAACCUGCCCCGGAGCGGGGGAUAACAUUUGGAAACAGAUGCUAAUACCGCAUAACAACAAAAGCCACAUGGCUUUUGUUUGAAAGAUGGCUUUGGCUAUCACUCUGGGAUGGACCUGCGGUGCAUUAGCUAGUUGGUAAGGUAACGGCUUACCAAGGCGAUGAUGCAUAGCCGAGUUGAGAGACUGAUCGGCCACAAUGGAACUGAGACACGGUCCAUACUCCUACGGGAGGCAGCAGUAGGGAAUCUUCCACAAUGGGCGCAAGCCUGAUGGAGCAACACCGCGUGAGUGAAGAAGGGUUUCGGCUCGUAAAGCUCUGUUGUUGGAGAAGAACGUGCGUGAGAGUAACUGUUCACGCAGUGACGGUAUCCAACCAGAAAGUCACGGCUAACUACGUGCCAGCAGCCGCGGUAAUACGUAGGUGGCAAGCGUUAUCCGGAUUUAUUGGGCGUAAAGCGAGCGCAGGCGGUUGCUUAGGUCUGAUGUGAAAGCCUUCGGCUUAACCGAAGAAGUGCAUCGGAAACCGGGCGACUUGAGUGCAGAAGAGGACAGUGGAACUCCAUGUGUAGCGGUGGAAUGCGUAGAUAUAUGGAAGAACACCAGUGGCGAAGGCGGCUGUCUGGUCUGCAACUGACGCUGAGGCUCGAAAGCAUGGGUAGCGAACAGGAUUAGAUACCCUGGUAGUCCAUGCCGUAAACGAUGAGUGCUAGGUGUUGGAGGGUUUCCGCCCUUCAGUGCCGGAGCUAACGCAUUAAGCACUCCGCCUGGGGAGUACGACCGCAAGGUUGAAACUCAAAGGAAUUGACGGGGGCCCGCACAAGCGGUGGAGCAUGUGGUUUAAUUCGAAGCUACGCGAAGAACCUUACCAGGUCUUGACAUCUUGCGCUAACCUUAGAGAUAAGGCGUUCCCUUCGGGGACGCAAUGACAGGUGGUGCAUGGUCGUCGUCAGCUCGUGUCGUGAGAUGUUGGGUUAAGUCCCGCAACGAGCGCAACCCUUGUUACUAGUUGCCAGCAUUAAGUUGGGCACUCUAGUGAGACUGCCGGUGACAAACCGGAGGAAGGUGGGGACGACGUCAGAUCAUCAUGCCCCUUAUGACCUGGGCUACACACGUGCUACAAUGGACGGUACAACGAGUCGCAAGCUCGCGAGAGUAAGCUAAUCUCUUAAAGCCGUUCUCAGUUCGGACUGUAGGCUGCAACUCGCCUACACGAAGUCGGAAUCGCUAGUAAUCGCGGAUCAGCAUGCCGCGGUGAAUACGUUCCCGGGCCUUGUACACACCGCCCGUCA